Molecule: long non-coding RNA, 1988 nt
Filed under: Canis lupus familiaris (dog)
Lineage: Eukaryota; Metazoa; Chordata; Mammalia; Carnivora; Canidae
Description: lncRNA (ENSCAFG00000057277.1, ENSCAFG00805004283.1)
Source: RNAcentral
GGAGAAGCAGGCUCCGUGCAGGGACCCCAUGUGGGACUUGAUCCUGGGACCCCAGGAUCACCCCGGGUGGAAGGCAGGCACUAAACCGCUGAGCCACCGGGGGUCCCUGAACUAGAUUUUAAAACAAUGAUUAUAAACUAGCUGGGCUUGAAACACUAGAGAAUCCUUUACUGGAGAAAUUAAAGAACUAAAAUCUAAUCCGGCUGAAAUUUAAAAUGCUAUUAUUGAGAUGUAGUGAAAAUAGAGGCUCUAACAACAUGGAUAAAUGAGGCAGAAGAGAGAUUCAGUAAUACAGAAGACAAAAUGUUGGAAAAUAAGGAAGCUAAAAAGAAGAGAGAAAGACUACCAGGUCAUAAAGGGAGACUUUGAGAAAUCAGUGAUUACAAAAGCAAAAUAAAAUAUGGAUUAUGGAGGUUUCAGAAGAUGAAAGGGGAGGGUAGAAGGUUUAUUUGAACAAAUUAUAGCUGAGAACUUCCCUAACCUGGAGAAGGAAGCAGGCUAUUCAAGUCUAGGUGGUAUAGAGAACCUCCCUAAAAAUGAGUAAAAAUAGAUCAACAUUUCAACAUAUAAUAGUGAAGUGUGCAAAUUUCAGGGAGAAAGAGAAAAUUCUUCUUCUUCUUUUUUUUUUUUUUUUUUGAGAAAGAGAAAAUUCUAAAAGCAGCUAGAAGAGUAGAAACAAGACUGGCAACAGACCUGACCACAGAGACCUGGCAGGCCAGAAAUGACUGGCACAAUAUAGUCAAUGUGCUAAAUGGGAAAAAUUUGUAGCCAAGAAUAUUUUAUCCAGCAAGGCUGCCAUUCAGAAUAGAAGGAGAGAAGGAGAAGGAAACAAAAGAGUUUCCAAAACAAACAAAAACUAAAGGAAUUCAUGAACACUAAACCAGCCCGGCAAAUACUAAAGAAGAUGCUUCAAGUGAAGAGAGAGGUGAAAAGUAACAAAGACCAGAGAGGAACAGAGGCAAUUUCCAAGAAGGGUGACUUUACAGGUAAUACAAUGCACUAAAUUCAUAUCUUUCAAUAAUUACUCUGAAGAUAAAUGGACAAAAUGCUCCAAUCAAAAGAUGUAGGGCAAGAGAUUGGAUAAAAAGAAUAAGAUCCAUUAAUAUGCUGUGUACAAAAGACUCAUUUUAGACCUAAAGACACCUCCAGAUUGAAAGUGAGGGAGUGGAGAACCAUUUAUCAUACUAAUAAACAUUAAAACAAAGCUGAAGUAGUAACCAUCCUUAUAUCAAACUAGAUUUUAAACCCAAGACUGAAGUAAGAGAUGAAGAAAAAUGUUGCAUCAUAAUAAAAGGGUCUAUCCAAAAGAAGAUCGAACAAUUAUAAAUACUUAUGCCCCUAAAUUGGGUGCAGCCAAAUAUAUAAACCAAUUAAUAUCAAAAUUAAAGAAACACAUUGAUAGUAAUACAAUAAUAUCAGGGUAGUUUAACACCCCACUCACAGCAAUGGAUAGAUUGUGUAAGCAGAAGAUCAAGGAAACUAGGGCUUUGUAUGACACACUGGGCCAGAAGGACUUAGAUAUAUUUAGAGCAUUUCAUCCCAAAGCAACAGAAUAUACAUUCUUCUCAAGUGCACAUGGAAUAUUCUCCAGAGUAGAUCACUUAUUGGGUCACAAAUCAGGUCUCAACUAGUACCAAAAAAUUGGGAUUAUUCCUUGCAUAUCUUCAGACCACAGUGCUUUAAAACUUGUUAUCACUCAGAAGAGAAAAUUUGAAAGGAAUACAAAUAUGUAGAGGUUAAGAGCAUCCUACUAAAGAAUGAAUGGAUCAGCCAGGAAAUUAAAGAAGAAUUUAAAAAUACAUGAAAACAAAUGAAAAUGAAAACAGGUACUUCAGCACCUUUUGGGAUGCAGCCAAGGUGGUCCUCAGAGCAAAGUAUAUAGUAAUACAGGCCUUUCUCAAGAAACAAGAAAAGUCUCAAAUGCACAAGCUAAUUUCACAUGUAAAGGAGCUGGAAAAAGAACAGCAAAUAAAGCCUAAACCCAGCAG